GGCCUAGGGGAGAAGUGGCAGGGCCAAGCGGGAGCCCCCAGGACCUCAGACACGGCAGGCUGGACCCAGGCCCCUGAGCCCAGACUGCACCUGGGGGUGGAAGGAGAACAGGAGAACAGACCAGAUCCUGCUCGGACCCUGGGCCUCCCAUCCCUGCAGCCUGAGCCAAGCCCCACAGCGUCCGGGCAGCCUCAGGAUUGUCCGGGCAGCCUCAGGAUUGUCCGGCCCAGGACCUUUCCAGCGUUUAUUAGGACCAAGCGCUCCCCUCCAGGGGAGGCCAGCAGCACAGCCAGCAGAAGUGGGCACUUCCGGGAUGCCCAGUGCCCGGCCACCUCCAGCCCUGCACACGGUGUGGGAGACCGGUGCCUGCCUGGGCCAUGCUGUCCCCCACGCCUGGGAAGGCCCCUCGAGGGACGGCGGGCUCGGCUGGGGGCCUGGUGCUCCAGAGACAGCGCGAGGGCCUUGGUGGCAUCGGCCCCAAGCGUCACUUCAAGCAGAAGGAGGAGCCUGGCUGGGGGCACGGCCUUGGCCACCCCUCCCCUCCGGUACCCAGUGUAGGUCACAAUAACUUAAAAGACACUAUAGACAUCUGGACGCUAUAUAACAGCAUAAGUUACCCGGGCUCCUCCGCGGAGGACGCCGGCCUGUGGACUCGGGGUGUCCCGGGACUGGGGUGAGGCAGGGCCAGGGUGGGGAGGGGCAUUCACAGCAGCCCAGAGGGUGGGUGUCCUGGCAUCGUCAGACCUGUGGGCUGGACGCAGGGCACCCAGACGGGGUCACCUGCCCCAGGCCAAUGUUCAGGCCCAGGGGCACACGGAGGGCACAGAGAGCAGGGGUAGGGUGGUGGCUUCGAGCCAUUCGCUGGCUUUGGGCAGGUCCCACCCUCAAGGCCUGUCUCCUCGGGAACAGAGUGGGAGCCCUGCAAGGAUGGCCCAGGCCUGAGCCCAGCUUCCCGUUCCAUCCCGUCUUCAAGGUUUUAGGGGAAUUGCCUGGGAGGAGAGGGUUCGCACAACCUGGGGAGACGUCCGGAGAGCAAGUGUCCCCAGAUGGCAGUGGGGACCCUGACAGUUGCCCCUAGCCCUGCCUGCCAGUUUUUCCAACACUGGGUUGGCGCAGAAGGACAAGGUCAGGGCUCUGGGAACCCUCAAAGGCACUGUGAGGGUGUUCGUCCCCUGAGGCAGUGGCCAGGAAGAGAGCAGCUGGGUCUCUUGGGGGGGGGGGCGCUGCUGGACAUCCUGGGUGGGGACUAAGGCAGGAGCACCCACUCGCAACUGAAGGGUCUCUGGCAAGUCCCGGCUCAGUCCCCUCUGGGCUUCAGCGUCCCCAUCUGUCAGGUGGGACCAGCAUUCGGGGCCACUCCCCGCCCCAGCCCUGCCGUCCUGGGGGUCAGGCUGGCUCCAGGGUGGGAGGACUCUGUAAACUUCAGGUGCCAGGCCAGUGGCUGGCCAGGAGUGUGAAGGACUAGGGAGGGGACCGGGCACUCCUGGAACCUGGCACAAGUGACAUUUUGAUUUUUGUGACAUGAUUUCCCAAAAGAAAGGGGAAGCCGGGCUGUGCUCCGAGGUUCUCUCCUGCUAACCCCUGGCACCUGGGACCUGCCGGCGGGUGGGGGGCAGGGGAGGCCAGCGAGGGGGAUCAGGGGGCCGGGUGGACACGGAGUGUGAAGUUAGGACUGGCUACGCAUUUGUUAGUGCCGAGAGCCCUCUCCCGAUGCUAAGAGAGGCAUAAAUAACAUUGUCAGUCUCCCACGUCCACACUGCCCUGGGGCUUCGAGUGUGACAGACUAGAACGCCCUUUCUGUGUCCAGCCACCGGGCAGGGAGGGGACCCUCAGGGUCUGGUCGCAACUCUGUGGUCUGGGGGCACGCUUGCAACCUCAAGGUUCGCUGUUGGUUCCCCGCUGGGACCCCAGGACCCACGACCUUGGGCGCCGGGUGGAUCUCGGGCAGGGUGCUGCCGGGAGGUGCCCCUCACUUGCAGGUGAAGACUUCGGUGCGCUCGCUGCAGGUGCUGCACUUGACAUAGCAGCACCAGUGGAACUUGCAGUUGCACUGCCAGACCCUCGUGUACUGGUGCGUGUUGUAGCCGCGGCCACAGCACAUGGCGUCACAGCCAUCCGCGCCUCAGCGAGGUGCGGUUGCACAGUCGGCCCCUGCGUGCCCACGCUGCCCGUCGCCACGUCCUCCUCGCAGUAGUUGGGCGACUUCUCGAUGUACACCAGGUCCGUCUCCAUGGGCUUCUGGUAGCUGCGCAGCUGCUUGAUGCGUAGGGAAGGUGGGCUGCCGCAGGCGGCUGGCCCGGACCGCCUCCACCUGCACGGCUGCGUUGUAUUUCUCCUUCAGCAGGUGGCCCACCUCUCGGAACUUGGGCAGCGUGGUCCAGCACGUCUUGGUGGUGCACGAGCCUGACACCCCAUGACACUUGCACUCCAGCUUCAUGCGGUCCUCCAGAACCUGUGGGCGACACAGCUUUGCUCAGGGGAGCGGGGCAUGGGCACCCUCUGGGGUCCCCCUGCCUCCCCCCGGCUGGCCCUGAAGUGGCUCCUCCUCUUCGGCUGAGUGACCACGGACAAGUAUUAGGGUCUCCAGGAUCUUGAGGACGUGAUGGAGCUUGGUGUGUGUUUAGCAACUGUACUCAGCGUGAUCAAAACAUACGGUGAAUGUUUAAAUUUUAAAUGAUUUAUUCCAAUAAAGACACGUUGCUACCAGUCCUCUGCAGUGUUCUCCCUCUUGUGUCAACACACUUAGCCCAUUGUUCUUGCCUCUUUCAGAAGCCUUUCUGGAAGUCCUCUUUCCUGUGUGUCUUUAUGAGAUGUGAUUAAAAAAUACAGUCAGCACUGCAGCCAAGUACCACCCGGGAAAGGCAGGCUCCUAAAAGACACGAAAGUGUGACCUCACCCACCUUAUUCACCGGGUCUGAUACCUGCAACUUCUGGCUCUUCCCCAAAGUCAAAAUGACCAUAAAAGGGAAAUGUUUUUCAUCCAUUCAGGACAUGGAGGCAGCCAUGACAGUGCAGCUAAAGACACUCAGGAGAGAGGACUCCAGAACUGCUACAGAAAGUGGCAAGGACGAUGGGAUGAGUGUGCUCAAAGUAAGGGGGCAUGUUUUGAAGGAGAUUCAUGGCAAUGUGCUUUUUACUGUAAUAAAUUUUUAAAAACUUCUUUUAACCAUUCACAGCUGUGUACAGAGCUCAGCACUAUGUCAGCACCUUGACAAGAAAACUGAGGCUUGGAAGCUCUAAGCUUGCUACAAGUUCAGGGGCAGCGGUGGGGGGAACC
This 3277-nucleotide long non-coding RNA is filed under the name Heterocephalus glaber (naked mole-rat). Its description in RNAcentral is "lncRNA (ENSHGLG00000046427.1)". The record is from RNAcentral. Lineage: Eukaryota; Metazoa; Chordata; Mammalia; Rodentia; Bathyergidae.